GAAUAUAACUGUUACGCAUAUUAUAUUUUUCAAGUAGAAAAAAAUCAAUAUGCCUAAGUAACGCACGCGUCUACCAAACAAUCGUUACGAAACGCGUGUACAAAGGUCUUUGCUCCUCCGGUCAGUACACAGGCUCGCGAGCAGCGAGAUAGGCCAGACAGUUUCAUGGCAAAAUAAGAGGACGCGCCUUCAUUGGCUUUAAUGGGAUGGCAAAUAGGCGGGCAGGAAAUUUGCGCUUUUGAAGGCACCUUCGUGCGCACGAGAUAGCACCGCGCAAGAGGGCACGCAGGAAAUUCUAAGCAAGAUGGCCGCGACGAGAUUCCACUGAUUCAAUAGAAACUAUUUGCACUGCCAUUAGACGGUCCGUUGGUGUUGGUUGGGCGCCGUGGCCUGUAAACACGGCCACACAAGAAUCGAAACGAACUUCGCGCCAGAGAGAGAUAAGGAGACAGGCAAAAUAUUGUCGAACCUUGAAGUUUUCACAGCGGGAUGAAAGAGAACGAAGAAACUUGCAGAGGUUUUCGAGUUACCGAGGUUCGACUAUACAGCAAACAGGACAAGAGAGAGAGAAAGAGAGAGAGAGAGAGAGAGGAGUAAAAAAAAGAAGAAAAA
This 612-nucleotide unclassified non-coding RNA is filed under the name Bombus terrestris (buff-tailed bumblebee). RNAcentral describes it as "misc RNA ENSBTSG00005030331.1". Lineage: Eukaryota; Metazoa; Arthropoda; Insecta; Hymenoptera; Apidae. The record is from RNAcentral.